RNAcentral lists this ribosomal RNA (428 nucleotides) under uncultured bacterium. RNAcentral's name for it is "bacterial SSU rRNA". It matches the Rfam family "Bacterial small subunit ribosomal RNA", at positions 354 to 796 of the family's 1533-position model. The record is from RNAcentral.
GUCGAGAAUCUUCGGCAAUGGGCGCAAGCCUGACCGAGCGAUGCCGCGUGAGGGAUGAAGGCCUUCGGGUUGUAAACCUCUGUCACCCGGGACGAACACCAUGACGGUACCGGGAGAGGAAGUCACGGCUAACUACGUGCCAGCAGCCGCGGUAAUACGUAGGUGACGAGCGUUAUUCGGAUUCACUGGGCGUAAAGGGUCCGCAGGGGGUUUGCCAAGUCCGGUGUGAAAUCCCGCGGCUCAACUGCGGAAUGGCACUGGAAACUGGCGAGCUUGAGUGCAUGAUGGGAGAGCGGAAUUCCUGGUGUAGCGGUGGAAUGCGUAGAUAUCAGGAGGAACACCGACGGCGAAGGCGGCUCUCUGGCGUGCUACUGACCCUCAGGGACGAAAGCGUGGGUAGCAAACAGGAUUAGAAACCCUAGUAGUCC